This 479-nucleotide ribosomal RNA is filed under the name uncultured bacterium. RNAcentral describes it as "partial 16S ribosomal RNA". It matches the Rfam family "Bacterial small subunit ribosomal RNA", at positions 29 to 507 of the family's 1533-position model. The record is from RNAcentral.
ACGAACGCUGGCGGCGUGCUUCACACAUGCAAGUCGAACGAUGAAGAAAAGAAUCGAAGCUUCGGCAGAAAUUCAUUUCGGAUUAGUGGCAGACGGGUGAGUAACGCGUGAGCAACCUACCUCUUACAAAGGGAUAGCCUCGGGAAACCGGGAUUAAUACCAUAUAACAUUGCGACGAAGCAUUUCGAUGCAAUCAAAGCUACGGCGGUAAGAGAUGGGCUCGCGUCCCAUUAACCGGAUGGUGAGGUAACGGCUCACCAUAGUGACGAUGGGUAACCGGCCUGAGAGGGUGAACGGUCACACUGGAACUGAGACACGGUCCAGACUCCUACGGGAGGCAGCAGUGGGGAAUAUUGCACAAUGGAGGGAACUCUGAUGCAGCGACGCCGCGUGAGUGAUGAAGGAAUUCGUUUCGUAAAACUCUGUUCUAUGGGAAGAAAAGGACUGUACCAUAGGAGAAAGCUCCGGCUAAAUACGUG